This 214-nucleotide long non-coding RNA is filed under the name Zostera marina. RNAcentral describes it as "long non-coding RNA (ZMAR_LNC000158)". The record is from RNAcentral. Lineage: Eukaryota; Viridiplantae; Streptophyta; Magnoliopsida; Alismatales; Zosteraceae.
UCAUUUCUUCUUGAGAUUGUAGUUGGACGUUGCUCGAAGCAGACGCCAUGUGCAUGACAAACGAAAAACUGGACGAUGUAAAAAGCUGAAGUUUAAAAGGUUCAGUGCACGAUGGCUCAUAGUGGGUUCGGCGCAUCAGAUAUUUAGCCUAAAUAAAUGCUACUCAAUGAUAUGUGUUUGAACUCGCUUUCAGUUUUUUAGCCAUUGAUUUUGG